GACUCAAAUAAAUAUGACCACGACAUUUGGGACUCGGGUAUACGACGUUUGUGACUUUGGUAUACGUCGUUUGGGACUCGGGUAUACGACGUUUGGGACUCGUAUCGGGAUAAUUUAUUAGAAAUAGGCCAAUUCAAAACACGAAAGAAAAUAUUUAUUAACAUGAAACACGUGGUUAGUAAAAGGCUCAACCAAACGAUAAAACAUUAGUUGCACUUACGGUUCUUUGAUAAUCAUCGAUUCUCAUAAAAGUUAUAUAUUUAUUUAAAACUAAUAAUAUGCUGAUGAAUUUAUUUGAAAAUGACCUACACAAAAAAACAAAAUAAAUAUUUACACGACAUGCAAUCUUUUUUACAAGCCCCUAGAAAUUGUUAACGAUAAUCCGUGAGCUGCACGUUGACAUGCUUGUCGUAGAUGGCAAUACCAAUCGAUAAAUUAGUGCGUACAAGGCAAAGUUUUUUUUGAGGAAAAUAUAAGAAAUGGCAACGAUCAAAGCGGGAUAAUUAAAGCUGAUUAACUGAUAAUCCCGAUGUUAUAGCAGUAUGUUCAAAGAAACCUAACGGUUCUUUGGUGGAUGAGGAAAAACGUGAGUUGUCAAUCAUCGAGAAUGGCGUCCGUGUGUUGAUUGCAGUUAUACCGUUUCACGAAAAAACAUGAGCAGUAGUCGGUCAAUCAAGCUCGUUUACUGUUUGAUAAAAGAAAAACAACGAAGUAUUACUAAAUAUACACAAAUUUUCAACAAUAUAUUAUUGUCAAGUUUUAUACUCGCAGAUAAAACAAAACAAAAGAGAAGUUUUAUACUCGCAGAUAAUACAAAAUAAAGGGGAACUAGCAGUGUUAAUCGCGGUCUCAACAAUCGCCGAUCAACUAAAUAAAACGAAAGACAACUAAGACAGCUGUUACUAAACAUGUAUAUCUCAUAAAUAAAUAGCCCCAACUGUCGUUUCUAUUGAGUACCAAAUGUCGUUUGUGUUGAGUCCCAAUUGACGCCAAUCAAGUCCCAAACGUCGUCAACUGAGUCCCAAAUGUCGUUUAUGUUGAGUCCCAAAUGACGUGAGUCCCAAAUGACGUGAUACCGUAGAGAGAACUCUAAAUCAAUGGUUUGUUCGGUGAGUGAAAGAGAAGGGCUUUGGGUAAUAACGCAGUUCCCGUCGAUAGGUCUACAUGACAUACUUUGUGAACCUAGAAGUACCAGGAAAAAGAAUGGGAGGAAAGUGUGCUCAUGUGUUGGCAAUAAUAAUAAUGAUUGAAGAAUGGAGAAUGGCAGGACAGAAAAAUGCCCCUUCUCAACCAUCAUCGAGUUUACCAUAACAGUGAGAUAAGCCAAGGGUGGCGAAAAUUUAACCAGGCCCUGUUUCACAGAUUAUAAUUUCAAGACCUGGGAAUGUAAACAGAAAAAGAAAGCCUGUGAUGGCAAAUUUUUACGACAACAGAAAAAUUCAAGUAUCAGAUGCCAAUAUACUACAUGUACAUCCUCAGACCUUGAAGGACAGUGUAAUCUCAUACUUGGUGAGCAGCACAGCAGACUCCAUAACAACGUCCACUGGUCCUCAACUUAUUGGAUCCCCACUUGCACAUUAUGCACCCUUUAUGCAAGUCACAACUCAACUGAGAACAGAGAACUCUGAUAAAUGUGGUGAAAUAUUUUUUCCAAAACCAGUUGAUGUACAUUUAGAGUUAAAUCAGAUAGUUAAGAUGAAAGUUGAGUGGAAAUAAAAUUAAUAAAUAGAUGUAAAGCAAGAUGAAGCCAUAAAAUAGAGAUAUCCACAAGAAAUAAUAAUAACACCUGGAUGAACGAAAGAAAGUGUUGUGUUACUGCCUCAAAGAAUGAAAUAAACGAUUCAUUUUUGAAAAACAUAUUUGACAAAAUUCAUUUUAGGUGCUACAUCAGACGCAAUUGUUUGUGAUAAAGGCGAGACUGGGCUCAUUGAAAUUAAAUGUCCUUUUUCAGCUCGAGAUAUGACACUUACAGAAGCAUGUAAUAAACUGAAAGAUUUCUUUUUAAUGCAAAAUGAUGAUGAAUAUAAAUUGUCUAGAAACCAUAUUCACCGGUUUCAGAAUCAGAGACAACUUCUCAUAACUGGGGCUCAAUUUUGCGACUGUCACUUUUACAAGACAGGAUUUCUGCAUAGACAGAAUAUAUCCCGAAAAACAAACCAUGCAGCAACUUGUUUCAAAAUUAUAUUGUUUUUAUGUUGAACAUUUAAAGCCAUAUCUUAUAAAAUAUUCUACAUGUCUAUAAAUAAGUUUAACUAACCUGUGGCAGCAUCAACUAUAUUAUCUGUACCAUUUUAUUAAUAAAGUAUUUUCUUCACAGUUUUCAUACUCAA
Molecule: long non-coding RNA, 2330 nt
Organism: Patella vulgata (common limpet)
Lineage: Eukaryota; Metazoa; Mollusca; Gastropoda; Patellidae
Exons: 4
Source: RefSeq, a predicted model, not a curated record